AGUGAACGCUGGCGGUAGGCCUAACACAUGCAAGUCGAACGGCAGCACAGUAAGAGCUUGCUCUUACGGGUGGCGAGUGGCGGACGGGUGAGGAAUACAUCGGAAUCUACUUUUUCGUGGGGGAUAACGUAGGGAAACUUACGCUAAUACCGCAUACGACCUACGGGUGAAAGCAGGGGAUCUUCGGACCUUGCGCGAUUGAAUGAGCCGAUGUCGGAUUAGCUAGUUGGCGGGGUAAAGGCCCACCAAGGCGACGAUCCGUAGCUGGUCUGAGAGGAUGAUCAGCCACACGGGAACGGAAACACGGUCCAGACUCCUACGGGAGGCAGCAGUGGGGAAUAUUGGACAAUGGGCGCAAGCCUGAUCCAGCCAUACCGCGUGGGUGAAGAAGGCCUUCGGGUUGUAAAGCCCUUUUGUUGGGAAAGAAAAGCAGCAGGUUAAUACCCCGCUGUUCUGACGGUACCCAAAGAAUAAGCACCGGCUAACUUCGUG
Molecule: ribosomal RNA, 492 nt
Filed under: uncultured bacterium
Lineage: Bacteria
Description: partial 16S ribosomal RNA
Rfam family: Bacterial small subunit ribosomal RNA
Source: RNAcentral